UGAGCAAUCUGCCCUUCUCAUCGGAAUAAGCGUUGGAAACGACGUCUAAUGCCGAAUACGACCUCCUUUCGCAUGAUCGGAGGUGGAGAGCUCCGGCGGAGAAGGAUGAGCUCGCGGCCUAUCAGCUAGUUGGUGUGGGCAAUGGCCCACAGGCGACGACGGGUAGCCGGCCUGAGGAGGGUGACCGGCCACACUGGGACUGAGAUACGGCCAGACUNACGGAG
This 224-nucleotide ribosomal RNA is filed under the name uncultured bacterium. RNAcentral's name for it is "partial 16S ribosomal RNA". It matches the Rfam family "Bacterial small subunit ribosomal RNA", at positions 118 to 347 of the family's 1533-position model. The record is from RNAcentral.